CAGUCGAACGAACUCUGGUAUUGAUUGGUGCUUGCAUCAUGAUUUACAUUUGAGUGAGUGGCGAACUGGUGAGUAACACGUGGGAAACCUGCCCAGAAGCGGGGGAUAACACCUGGAAACAGAUGCUAAUACCGCAUAACAACUUGGACCGCAUGGUCCGAGCUUGAAAGAUGGCUUCGGCUAUCACUUUUGGAUGGUCCCGCGGCGUAUUAGCUAGAUGGUGGGGUAACGGCUCACCAUGGCAAUGAUACGUAGCCGACCUGAGAGGGUAAUCGGCCACAUUGGGACUGAGACACGGCCCAAACUCCUACGGGAGGCAGCAGUAGGGAAUCUUCCACAAUGGACGAAAGUCUGAUGGAGCAACGCCGCGUGAGUGAAGAAGGGUUUCGGCUCGUAAAACUCUGUUGUUAAAGAAGAACAUAUCUGAGAGUAACUGUUCAGGUAUUGACGGUAUUUAACCAGAAAGCCACGGCUAACUACGUGCCAGCAGCCGCGGUAAUACGUAGGUGGCAAGCGUUGUCCGGAUUUAUUGGGCGUAAAGCGAGCGCAGGCGGUUUUUUAAGUCUGAUGUGAAAGCCUUCGGCUCAACCGAAGAAGUGCAUCGGAAACUGGGAAACUUGAGUGCAGAAGAGGACAGUGGAACUCCAUGUGUAGCGGUGAAAUGCGUAGAUAUAUGGAAGAACACCAGUGGCGAAGGCGGCUGUCUGGUCUGUAACUGACGCUGAGGCUCGAAAGUAUGGGUAGCAAACAGGAUUAGAUACCCUGGUAGUCCAUACCGUAAACGAUGAAUGCUAAGUGUUGGAGGGUUUCCGCCCUUCAGUGCUGCAGCUAACGCAUUAAGCAUUCCGCCUGGGGAGUACGGCCGCAAGGCUGAAACUCAAAGGAAUUGACGGGGGCCCGCACAAGCGGUGGAGCAUGUGGUUUAAUUCGAAGCUACGCGAAGAACCUUACCAGGUCUUGACAUACUAUGCAAAUCUAAGAGAUUAGACGUUCCCUUCGGGGACAUGGAUACAGGUGGUGCAUGGUUGUCGUCAGCUCGUGUCGUGAGAUGUUGGGUUAAGUCCCGCAACGAGCGCAACCCUUAUUAUCAGUUGCCAGCAUUAAGUUGGGCACUCUGGUGAGACUGCCGGUGACAAACCGGAGGAAGGUGGGGAUGACGUCAAAUCAUCAUGCCCCUUAUGACCUGGGCUACACACGUGCUACAAUGGAUGGUACAACGAGUUGCGAACUCGCGAGAGUAAGCUAAUCUCUUAAAGCCAUUCUCAGUUCGGAUUGUAGGCUGCAACUCGCCUACAUGAAGUCGGAAUCGCUAGUAAUCGCGGAUCAGCAUGCCGCGGUGAAUACGUUCCCGGGCCUUGUACACACCGCCCGUCACACCAUGAGAGUUUGUAACACCCAAAGUCGGUGGGGU
RNAcentral lists this ribosomal RNA (1411 nucleotides) under Lactobacillus sp. RNAcentral's name for it is "bacterial SSU rRNA". It matches the Rfam family "Bacterial small subunit ribosomal RNA", at positions 59 to 1436 of the family's 1533-position model. Lineage: Bacteria; Bacillati; Bacillota; Bacilli; Lactobacillales; Lactobacillaceae. The record is from RNAcentral.